UGGGGAAUAUUGCACAAUGGGCGAAAGCCUGAUGCAGCGACGCCGCGUGAGGGAUGACGGCCUUCGGGUUGUAAACCUCUUUCAGCAGGGAAGAAGCGAAAGUGACGGUACCUGCAGAAGAAGCGCCGGCUAACUACGUGCCAGCAGCCGCGGUAAUACGUAGGGCGCAAGCGUUGUCCGGAAUUAUUGGGCGUAAAGAGCUCGUAGGCGGUUAGUCGCGUCUGCUGUGAAAACUCGAGGCUCAACCUCGGGCUUGCAGUGGGUACGGGCUGACUAGAGUGCGGUAGGGGUGACUGGAAUUCCUGGUGUAGCGGUGGAAUGCGCAGAUAUCAGGAGGAACACCGAUGGCGAAGGCAGGUCACUGGGCCGCAACUGACGCUGAGGAGCGAAAGCAUGGGGAGCGAACAGGAUUAGAUACCCUGGUAGUCCAUGCCGUAAACGUUGGGCACUAGGUGUGGGUCCAUUCCACGGAUUCCGUGCCGCAGCAAACGCAUUAAGUGCCCCGCCUGGGGAGUACGGCCGCAAGGCUAAAACUUAAAUGAAUUGACGGGGUUAUAGCUGUUUCCU
This 567-nucleotide ribosomal RNA is filed under the name uncultured bacterium. Its description in RNAcentral is "partial 16S ribosomal RNA". It matches the Rfam family "Bacterial small subunit ribosomal RNA", at positions 355 to 1375 of the family's 1533-position model. The record is from RNAcentral.